UCUGUAGGUGGUCAAAUAAGUCAACUGUUAAAUCUUGAGGCUCAACCUCAAAAUCGCAGUCGAAACUAUUAGACUGGAGUAUAGUAGGGGUAAAGGGAAUUUCCAGUGGAGCGGUGAAAUGCGUAGAGAUUGGAAAGAACACCGAUGGCGAAGGCACUUUACUGGGCUAUUACUAACACUGAGAGACGAAAGCUAGGGUAGCAAAUG
RNAcentral lists this ribosomal RNA (207 nucleotides) under uncultured bacterium. RNAcentral describes it as "partial 16S ribosomal RNA". It matches the Rfam family "Bacterial small subunit ribosomal RNA", at positions 568 to 774 of the family's 1533-position model. The record is from RNAcentral.